UUUUUGAACAUCUACCACUCAAGAUUCUACCACACAGAAUUUUUUAAGUCCGAUCACUGUUCUGGACGCAUUGAAAACAACGAGCUUCCAAUUUGUUAUCUUCAUUAUCUAAACGCUUUCUCGAAGGCGACAUAUUUUUUUUUUUUUUUGAAGGCCACUGCGACAUCAUGAAUUUGUAUGAGUUUGACAUAAAAGAUCUAAUCUGGCUACAACCAAAGUCGUCGCCUAACAUUGUCGCCGCCAAAAUAAUCCCUGCAGUGAAAAGCCAAACCAGUCAGUAAAAAUACCAGUUCAUUAACUAGAUUGUGCUACAGCGAUGGCCUAUCAGUUCGACAAUUUCGAAGAACUAAAGCGUUCAGCGGUAUCUGCCUUUGAAUUGCCAAAACCGAACAUAACACACAAUUAAUUGCUUUUCUUACAAAUGUCGGCUGUGGCGUCGCGUGAAGACUGACGGGUCUGGUGCUGAGAUCGAAGGUUCGAAUCCGCUUGGAGGUGGUUACGAUUUUUAUUUUUAAAUUAAUUCAGUAAAAACAUGCUUAUGGGAAGAAAUACUUGUGGCAUA
Long non-coding RNA from Rhagoletis pomonella (apple maggot), 562 nucleotides. RefSeq lists it as uncharacterized. Lineage: Eukaryota; Metazoa; Arthropoda; Insecta; Diptera; Tephritidae. The record is from RefSeq and is a predicted model, not a curated record. The transcript has 3 exons.